UGUGGGAGCGAGCUUGCUCGCGAUAGCGGAGUGUCAGCCGCAUUGAUAUCGAACAUUCGGCCGCCAUCGCGAGCAAGCUCGCUCCCACA
RNAcentral lists this unclassified non-coding RNA (89 nucleotides) under Pseudomonas jessenii. Lineage: Bacteria; Pseudomonadati; Pseudomonadota; Gammaproteobacteria; Pseudomonadales; Pseudomonadaceae. The record is from RNAcentral.